CCUACGGGUGGCAGCAGUGAGGAAUAUUGGUCAAUGGGCGGGAGCCUGAACCAGCCAAGCCGCGUGAGGGAAGAAGGUCCAGCGUAUCGUAAACCUCUUUUGUCAGGGAACAAAGGCGGGGACUAGUCCCCGGAUGAGGGUACCUGAAGAAAAAGCAUCGGCUAACUCCGUGCCAGCAGCCGCGGUAAUACGGAGGAUGCGAGCGUUAUCCGGAUUUAUUGGGUUUAAGGGGUGGGAAGGCGGCUUGUUAAGUCAGCGGUAAAAUCCCGGGGCUCAACCUCGGAGAGCCGUUGAAACUGGCGGGCUGGAGUUGGAGAGAGGUACGCGGAAUGCGCGGUGUAGCGGUGAAAUGCUUAGAUAUCGCGAAGAACCCCGAUUGCGAAGGCAGCGUACCGGCUCCAAACUGACGCUGAGGCACGAAAGCGUGGGUAUCGAACAGGAUUAGAUACCCUUGUAGUC
This 459-nucleotide ribosomal RNA is filed under the name uncultured bacterium. RNAcentral's name for it is "partial 16S ribosomal RNA". It matches the Rfam family "Bacterial small subunit ribosomal RNA", at positions 338 to 795 of the family's 1533-position model. The record is from RNAcentral.